AAUCGCGGUAACUGGGUCCGGGGCAUCGUGACGGAGGUCUUCAAGGGUGCCGAUGGACGCAUUCGGCAGGCGUUGGUGAGGACAAGCAGAGGAGAGCUGAAGCGGCCGGUGAGCAAACUGGCGGUGCUAGAAAUUCAGGAGCGUAAAACCGGUGCGAAGGAGGCUCCUCCCACCAGAAUUACGGGGCGGGGCAAUGUUCGCACCGCUGGGCAGUUGAUGAAAAAUACUAUGCCAGCAAGUGUAUCACGCGAGAUGAGAGAGAACGCAGAGAAGAACUCGGACGGCCGGAAAGCCGGACCGCGACGAAAACCCAUGUAAACCCUAGAAAUUGAAAAAGUUGGAUCGUCACAUUAGCCAUUACAAAGUGUAACGUGGUUGCGUAAAUUUAGCCGAAUUUACCAUCAUUUCUUUAACUUCCUGGUUCGAUCGGUUGAUCAGCUUAACCAGAUUUCAGCGCGUGUGGGAGUAAAAAGCCACGAAAGAGGGCAUAAAUUGUCACCAGAUUAACCAUAAUUAAAGCCACUUAGCGACCAGCGAAUUUAACCCGUGAGCAACAAGAGCAUUUGUGUGAGGAAAAGGUGAUAAAGGGCAAACUAUUCAUGUGAGUUGAAUUAUAUUUCCAUCUAAAUCAUGCGUAAUAAAAUCAAUAUUUUUUAGUUUUAAGCUACUACCAGAAAAGUUGCUGUAAAAAUUCAGUUUGUUCUGAGGUCCGAACAAGUUUCUUAUUUAAAAAU
This is a long non-coding RNA of Culex quinquefasciatus (southern house mosquito), 734 nucleotides long. RefSeq lists it as uncharacterized. The transcript is spliced from 3 exons. The record is from RefSeq and is a predicted model, not a curated record. NCBI's taxonomy places the organism in Eukaryota, Metazoa, Arthropoda, Insecta, Diptera, Culicidae.